UCCGGUUGAUCCUGCCGGACCUGACUGCUAUCGGAUUGAUACUAAGCCAUGUGAGUCAUUGCAGCAAUGCAAGGCAGACGGCUCAGUAACACGUAGUCAACCUACCCUAUAGACGGGGAUAACCUCGGGAAACUGAGGAUAAACCCCGAUAGAUCAUUAUGCCUGGAACGGUUUAUGGUCCAAAUGAUUCGUCGCUAUAGGAUGGGACUGCGGCCUAUCAGCUUGUUGGUGAGGUAAUGGCCCACCAAGGCUAUUACAGGUACGGGCUCUGAGAGGAGAGGCCCGGAGAUGGGUACUGAGACACGGACCCAGGUCCUAUGGGGCGCAGCAGGCGAGAAAACUUUGCAAUGUGCGCAAGCACGACAAGGUUAAUCCGAGUGAUUCCUGCUAAAGGAAUCUUUUGUUUGUCGUAAAACCACUAAUGAAUAAGGGGUGGGCAAGUUCUGGUGUCAGCCGCCGCGGUAAAACCAGCACCUCAAGUGGUCAGGAUGAUUAUUGGGCCUAAAGCAUCCGUAGCCGGCUUUGUAAGUUUUCGGUUAAAUCUAUAUGCUCAACAUAUAGGCCGCCGGGAAUACUGCAAAGCUAGGGAGUGGGAGAGGUAGACGGUACUCUGGAGGAAGUGGUAAAAUGCUUUGAUCUCUAGAUGACCACCAGUGGCGAAGGCGGUCUACCAGAACACGUCCGACGGUGAGGGAUGAAAGCUGGGGGAGCAAACCGGAUUAGAUACCCGGGUAGUCCCAGCUGUAAACUAUGCAAACUCAGUGAUGCAUUGGCUUGUGGCCAGUGCAGUGCCGCAGAGAAGUCGUUAAGUUUGCCGCCUGGGAAGUACGUACGCAAGUAUGAAACUUAAAGGAAUUGGCGGGGGAGCACCACAAGGGGUGAAGCCUGCGGUUCAAUUGGAGUCAACGCCGGGA
Molecule: ribosomal RNA, 914 nt
Filed under: uncultured crenarchaeote
Lineage: Archaea; Thermoproteati; Thermoproteota
Description: bacterial SSU rRNA
Rfam family: Archaeal small subunit ribosomal RNA
Source: RNAcentral